GCCGGCUUAGCUCAGUUGGUAGAGCAACUGAUUUGUAAUCAGUAGGUCGUCAGUUCGAUUCUGACAGCCGGCACCA
RNAcentral lists this transfer RNA (76 nucleotides) under Lysobacter sp. RNAcentral describes it as "tRNA-Thr". It matches the Rfam family "tRNA". From Rfam's summary of the family: Transfer RNA (tRNA) molecules are approximately 80 nucleotides in length. RNAcentral also lists the same sequence under 8 other names. Lineage: Bacteria; Pseudomonadati; Pseudomonadota; Gammaproteobacteria; Lysobacterales; Lysobacteraceae. The record is from RNAcentral.